UUGGCUUUACCCGAAGGUGGUGCGCUAACCCGCAAGGGAGGCAGGCGACCACGGUGGGAUCAGCGACUGGGGUGAAGUCGUAACAAGGUAGCCGUAGGUGAACCUGCAGAAGGAUCA
RNAcentral lists this ribosomal RNA (117 nucleotides) under uncultured eukaryote. RNAcentral describes it as "partial small subunit ribosomal RNA". It matches the Rfam family "Bacterial small subunit ribosomal RNA", at positions 1411 to 1525 of the family's 1533-position model. The record is from RNAcentral.